Molecule: long non-coding RNA, 116 nt
Organism: Populus euphratica (Euphrates poplar)
Lineage: Eukaryota; Viridiplantae; Streptophyta; Magnoliopsida; Malpighiales; Salicaceae
Exons: 2
Source: RefSeq, a predicted model, not a curated record
AUAUCAAUGCUAAUGAAAUCACCUAUAUCCGGAUGAAAGGAGGAAGGAAAUCACAUGUUGCCAUCAAUGAAUUCAGAGCGCAGAAUAGCAGUCCCAAAAGAACUCAUAGACAACAA